ACGAACGCUGGCGGCGCGCCUAACACAUGCAAGUCGAACGAGCGAGAGAGAGCUUGCUUUCUCGAGCGAGUGGCGAACGGGUGAGUAACGCGUGAGGAACCUGCCUCAAAGAGGGGGACAACAGUUGGAAACGACUGCUAAUACCGCAUAAGCCCACGACCCGGCAUCGGGUAGAGGGAAAAGGAGCAAUCCGCGUUGAGAUGGCCUCGCGUCCGAUUAGCUAGUUGGUGAGGUAACGGCCCACCAAGGCGACGAUCGGUAGCCGGACUGAGAGGUUGAACGGCGAGAGUGGGACUGAGACACGGCCCAGACGCCUACGGGAGGCAGCAGUGGGGAAUAUUGCACAAUGGGGGAAACCCUGAUGCAGCGACGCCGCGUGGAGGAAGAAGGUCUUCGGAUUGUAAACUCCUGUUGUUGAGGAAGAUAAUGACGGUACUCAACAAGGAAGUGACGGCUAACUACGUG
RNAcentral lists this ribosomal RNA (465 nucleotides) under uncultured bacterium. RNAcentral describes it as "partial 16S ribosomal RNA". It matches the Rfam family "Bacterial small subunit ribosomal RNA", at positions 29 to 507 of the family's 1533-position model. The record is from RNAcentral.